This 55-nucleotide transfer RNA is filed under the name Bos taurus (domestic cattle). It matches the Rfam family "tRNA", at positions 10 to 63 of the family's 71-position model. Rfam says of the family: Transfer RNA (tRNA) molecules are approximately 80 nucleotides in length. Their secondary structure includes four short double-helical elements and three loops (D, anti-codon, and T loops). RNAcentral also lists the same sequence under 5 other names. The record is from Rfam by way of RNAcentral. Lineage: Eukaryota; Metazoa; Chordata; Mammalia; Artiodactyla; Bovidae.
GCUCAGUCGGUAAAGAAUCUGCCUGCAAUGCAGGAGACCCAGGUUCAAUUCCUGG